Molecule: ribosomal RNA, 502 nt
Filed under: Actinomyces sp. 12-300
Lineage: Bacteria; Bacillati; Actinomycetota; Actinomycetes; Actinomycetales; Actinomycetaceae
Description: bacterial SSU rRNA
Rfam family: Bacterial small subunit ribosomal RNA
Source: RNAcentral
GUUUGAUCCUGGCUCAGGACGAACGCUGGCGGCGUGCUUAACACAUGCAAGUCGAACGCUGAAGCCUAGCUUUUGUUGGGUGGAUGAGUGGCGAACGGGUGAGUAACACGUGAGUAACCUGCCCCCUUCUUUGGGAUAACGCCCGGAAACGGGUGCUAAUACUGGAUAUUCACUGAUCUUCGCAUGGGGGUUGGUGGAAAGGUUUUUUCUGGUGGGGGAUGGGCUCGCGGCCUAUCAGCUUGUUGGUGGGGUGAUGGCCUACCAAGGCUUUGACGGGUAGCCGGCCUGAGAGGGUGACCGGUCACAUUGGGACUGAGAUACGGCCCASACUCCUACGGGAGGCAGCAGUGGGGAAUAUUGCACAAUGGGCGAAAGCCUGAUGCAGCGACSCCGCGUGAGGGAUGGAGGCCUUCGGGUUGUAAACCUCUUUCGCUCAUGGUCAAGCCGCAACAUUGGUUGUGGUGAGGGUAGUGGGUAAAGAAGCGCCGGCUAACUACGUGCC